AAGCUAGAUGAUGAGAAUGGUUUUUAUAUAUCUCACGAUGGUCAUCUGAGGCACUCUUGGUGUCUAUAUUGAUGCAUAUCCAAUCUCUGAUGGCU
This is a small nucleolar RNA of Elaeis guineensis (African oil palm), 95 nucleotides long. RefSeq annotates it as small nucleolar RNA Z161/Z228. The record is from RefSeq and is a predicted model, not a curated record. NCBI's taxonomy places the organism in Eukaryota, Viridiplantae, Streptophyta, Magnoliopsida, Arecales, Arecaceae.